CAGAUGUGUGCUCUUUCAAAAUAGUGGGAUGACUUCUAGGUAUAGGCAAAAAGCCUAAUGAGCUUGGUGAUAGCUGGUUACUCAAUAAUGAAUUUUAGUUCAACUUUAAGUUUACCAUAAGAACAUAAAUCCAAAUGUAAACUUAAAAUAUAGCCUAAAGAGGGACAGGUCUUUAGGAAUGGAAAUAACUUUUAAUAGUGAAUAAGCCUCAUACAUUAAAACCAUUGUUGGCUUAAAAGCAGCCACCAAUAAAGAAAGUAUUCAAGUUCAACAUU
Molecule: non-coding RNA, 275 nt
Organism: Peromyscus maniculatus bairdii (prairie deer mouse)
Lineage: Eukaryota; Metazoa; Chordata; Mammalia; Rodentia; Cricetidae
Source: RefSeq, a predicted model, not a curated record